RNAcentral lists this long non-coding RNA (386 nucleotides) under Carica papaya (papaya). Its description in RNAcentral is "long non-coding RNA (CPAP_LNC013505)". Lineage: Eukaryota; Viridiplantae; Streptophyta; Magnoliopsida; Brassicales; Caricaceae. The record is from RNAcentral.
AGGAUGAAGCUAAAAUUGGUCUAUGCAGAGUUAAUCAACUUCAUACAGUUUUCAUAAAUCAGAUUCGUGAGAAUUAAAAAGAAUAUCACACUGAAAGUCAACAAUUUCUGAAGACCUUUCCCCUUAUAUGAUUUCAGCCAAGAACUCCUAUAAAAUUUCAUAACCAAGUCAAGCAGACUAAUCAUUUACCAAGACUUACUAAAUGCAUUGAAGGUUAAAGUUUGGAAACCUAUAAGGUGCAUAAAUUCAAUGAGACAAUGGCUUAAUAAACAAGACCUCACUUUUCUUACCUGCUAACUAAAAAUGUGUAUAUUACAAUAAUACAUAUAUCAAGGGAGCCAUACUCACCAAAUACAGUUUUAGGAAUCAGUUGCAAAGGAUAAGAG